UGCAAGUCGAGCGAUGAAACACCUUCGGGUGUGAAUUAGCGGCGAACGGGUGAGGAACACGUGAAGAAUCUGCCUUCAACUCUGGGAUAACUCCGGGAAACCGGGGCUAAUACCGGAUAUGAGCCUCGAUCGCAUGAUUGGGGCUGGAAAGUUUUUCGGUUGAAGAUGACUUCGCGGCCUAUCAGCUUGUUGGUGAGGUAAUGGCUCACCAAGGCGACGACGGGUAGCCGGCCUGAGAGGGCGACCGGCCACACUGGGACUGAGACACGGCCCAGACUCCUACGGGAGGCAGCAGUGGGGAAUAUUGGGCAAUGGAGGAAACUCUGACCCAGCGACGCCGCGUGAGGGAUGAAGGCCUUCGGGUUGUAAACCUCUUUCAGUAGGGAAGAAGCGAAAGUGACGGUACCUACAGAAGAAGCACCGGCUAACUAUGUGCCAGCAGCCGCGGUAAUACAUAGGGUGCAAGCGUUGUCCGGAAUUAUUGGGCGUAAAGAGCUCGUAGGUGGUUCGAUACGUCGGAUGUGAAAAUCAGGGGCUCAACCCCUGACCUGCAUCCGAUACGGUCGAGCUAGAGUUUGGUAGGGGAGACUGGAAUUCCUGGUGUAGCGGUGGAAUGCGCAGAUAUCAGGAGGAACACCGAUGGCGAAGGCAGGUCUCUGGGCCAAUACUGACACUGAGGAGCGAAAGCGUGGGGAGCGAACAGGAUUAGAUACCCUGGUAGUCCACGCCGUAAACGGUGGGCGCUAGUUGUGCGAACCUUCCACGGUUUGUGCGACGCAGCUAACGCAUUAAGCGCCCCGCCUGGGGAGUACGAUCGCAAGAUUAAAACUCAAAGGAAUUGACGGGGCCCC
Molecule: ribosomal RNA, 851 nt
Filed under: uncultured bacterium
Lineage: Bacteria
Description: bacterial SSU rRNA
Rfam family: Bacterial small subunit ribosomal RNA
Source: RNAcentral